This 497-nucleotide ribosomal RNA is filed under the name uncultured bacterium. RNAcentral's name for it is "partial 16S ribosomal RNA". It matches the Rfam family "Bacterial small subunit ribosomal RNA", at positions 28 to 507 of the family's 1533-position model. The record is from RNAcentral.
GAUGAACGCUGGCGGCGUGCCUAAUACAUGCAAGUCGAGCGAACAGACGAGGAGCUUGCUCCUCUGACGUUAGCGGCGGACGGGUGAGUAACACGUGGAUAACCUACCUAUAAGACUGGGAUAACUUCGGGAAACCGGAGCUAAUACCGGAUAAUAUAUUGAACCGCAUGGUUCAAUAGUGAAAGACGGUUUUGCUGUCACUUAUAGAUGGAUCCGCGCCGCAUUAGCUAGUUGGUAAGGUAACGGCUUACCAAGGCGACGAUGCGUAGCCGACCUGAGAGGGUGAACGGCCACACUGGAACUGAGACACGGUCCAGACUCCUACGGGAGGCAGCAGUAGGGAAUCUUCCGCAAUGGGCGAAAGCCUGACGGAGCAACGCCGCGUGAGUGAUGAAGGUCUUCGGAUCGUAAAACUCUGUUAUUAGGGAAGAACAAAUGUGUAAGUAACUAUGCACGUCUUGACGGUACCUAAUCAGAAAGCCACGGCUAACUACGUG